Molecule: transfer RNA, 72 nt
Filed under: Pseudozyma flocculosa PF-1
Lineage: Eukaryota; Fungi; Basidiomycota; Ustilaginomycetes; Ustilaginales; Ustilaginaceae
Description: tRNA-Cys (GCA) (tRNA-Cys-GCA-1-1)
Rfam family: tRNA
About the family: Transfer RNA (tRNA) molecules are approximately 80 nucleotides in length. Their secondary structure includes four short double-helical elements and three loops (D, anti-codon, and T loops). Further hydrogen bonds mediate the characteristic L-shaped molecular structure. tRNAs have two regions of fundamental functional importance: the anti-codon, which is responsible for specific mRNA codon recognition, and the 3' end, to which the tRNAs corresponding amino acid is attached (by aminoacyl-tRNA synthetases). tRNAs cope with the degeneracy of the genetic code in two manners: having more than one tRNA (with a specific anti-codon) for a particular amino acid; and 'wobble' base-pairing, i.e. permitting non-standard base-pairing at the 3rd anti-codon position.
Source: RNAcentral
GCGGCGGAGGCUUAGUGGUUUGGCGUAGGAUUGCAAAUCCUGAGGUCCCGAGUUCGAUCCUCGGUCGCCGCU